CCUCAAAUAAUGUGUGAGUACCCCCUAAAUUUAAGCAUA
Molecule: ribosomal RNA, 39 nt
Filed under: Anopheles messeae
Lineage: Eukaryota; Metazoa; Arthropoda; Insecta; Diptera; Culicidae
Description: partial 28S ribosomal RNA
Source: RNAcentral